CCCUUAGAUGUCCUGGGCCGCACGCGCGUUACACUGAUGCAUUCAACGAGCUUAUAACCUUGGCCGAGAGGCCUGGGCAAUCUUGUUAACGUGCAUCGUGAUAGGGAUAGAUUAUUGAAAUUAUUAAUCUUGAACAAGGAAUUCCUAGUAAACGCAGAUCAUCAAUCUGCAUUGAUUACGUCCCUGCCCUUUGUACACACCGCCCGUCGCACCUACCGAUUGGAUGGUCCGGUGAAGCCUCGGGAUUGUGGUUCUUGCCGCUUUAUUGUGGCGUGACCGCGAGAACUUGUCUAAACCUUAUCAUCUAGAGGAAGGUGAAGUCGUAACA
This 328-nucleotide ribosomal RNA is filed under the name uncultured eukaryote. RNAcentral's name for it is "partial 18S ribosomal RNA". It matches the Rfam family "Eukaryotic small subunit ribosomal RNA", at positions 1470 to 1796 of the family's 1831-position model. The record is from RNAcentral.